Molecule: ribosomal RNA, 495 nt
Filed under: uncultured bacterium
Lineage: Bacteria
Description: partial 16S ribosomal RNA
Rfam family: Bacterial small subunit ribosomal RNA
Source: RNAcentral
AAUGAACGCUGGCGGCGUGCCUAACACAUGCAAGUCGAACGAGAAAAGCCUUCGGGCUUAGUACAGUGGCGAACGGGUGAGUAACGCGUGGGAAUCUACCCUUUUGUGGAGAAUACCCUCGAGAAAUCGAGGUUAAUACUGCAUAAGCUCCUACGGGAGGAAAGAUGGCUUAAUUGCUGUCGCUGAAGGAUGAGCAUGCGUACUAUUAGCUAGUUGGUAGGGUAAUGGCCUACCAAGGCAAGGAUGGUUAGCCGGGCUGAGAGGGUGAACGGCCACAUUGGAACUGAGACACGGUCCAGACUCCUACGGGAGGCAGCAGUGGGGAAUAUUGCGCAAUGGGCGAAAGCCUGACGCAGCGACGCCGCGUGGAGGAUGAAGGCCUUCGGGUUGUAAACUUCUGUUAAGUGGGAGGAAAUGCGUACGUUUAAUAGACGUACGAGCUGACAGUACCACUAGAGAAAGCACUGGCUAAUCUCGUGCCAGCAGCCGCGGUAA